GCCCGCUCAGAACCUCAAAGGAAUUGACGGGGCCGCACAAGCGGUGGAGUAUGUGGUUUAAUUCGAUGCAACGCGAAGAACCUUACCUGGUCUUGACAUCCCGGAGACCCUUAGGAAACUAGGGGGUGCUUCCAUCUGGAAGAAUCUGGAGACAGGUGCUGCAUGGCUGUCGUCAGCUCGUGUCGUGAGAUGUUGGGUUAAGUCCCGCAACGAGCGCAACCCUUGCCUUUAGUUGCCAGCAGUUCGGCUGGGCACUCUAAAGGGACUGCCGGUGUUAAACCGGAGGAAGGUGGGGAUGACGUCAAGUCCUCAUGGCCUUUAUGACCAGGGCUACACACGUACUACAAUGGCCGAUACAAAGGGCAGCGACACUGCGAGGUGAAGCCAAUCCCGUAAAAUCGGUCUCAGUCCGGAUUGGAGUCUGCAACUCGACUCCAUGAAGUUGGAAUCGCUAGUAAUCGUGGAUCAGCAUGCCACGGUGAAUACGUUCCCGGGCCUU
This 499-nucleotide ribosomal RNA is filed under the name uncultured Desulfobulbus sp. RNAcentral describes it as "bacterial SSU rRNA". It matches the Rfam family "Bacterial small subunit ribosomal RNA", at positions 887 to 1382 of the family's 1533-position model. The record is from RNAcentral. Lineage: Bacteria; Pseudomonadati; Thermodesulfobacteriota; Desulfobulbia; Desulfobulbales; Desulfobulbaceae.